Ursus americanus (American black bear) is the source of this 154-nucleotide small nucleolar RNA. The record is from Ensembl. NCBI's taxonomy places the organism in Eukaryota, Metazoa, Chordata, Mammalia, Carnivora, Ursidae.
ACUACACAUUGUUAGAGCUUGGAGUUGAAGCGGCUGGCUGGCCAGUGAAAUCACAAGCGUAGGUAUUGUGCUACAUGAAAGGCAAGUCUUUCACUAACGCCACAAGGGUUUCUGGCCCAAUGAGUGGAGUUUGAUAGUAAUUCUUGCUACAAGU